RNAcentral lists this ribosomal RNA (464 nucleotides) under uncultured bacterium. RNAcentral describes it as "partial 16S ribosomal RNA". It matches the Rfam family "Bacterial small subunit ribosomal RNA", at positions 339 to 795 of the family's 1533-position model. The record is from RNAcentral.
CUACGGGGCGCACCAGUGGGGAAUAUUGGACAAUGGGGAAACCCUGAUCCAGCAAUGCCGCGUGUGUGAAGAAGGCCUGCGGGUUGUAAAGCACUUUCGGUUGGGAGGACUGCUUCUAGCACUAAUAUUGUUGGAAGUUGACGUUACCUUCAGAAGAAGCACCGGCUAACUCCGUGCCAGCAGCCGCGGUAAUACGGAGGGUGCAAGCGGUAAUCGGAAUUACUGGGCGUAAAGCGCGCGUAGGCGGCUAGAUCAGUCGGGUGUGAAAGCCCCGGGCUUAACCUGGGAACUGCAUCCGAUACUGUCUAGCUUGAGUACAGGAGAGGAGAGUGGAAUUCCACAUGUAGCGGUGAUAUGCGUAGAUAUGUGGAGGAACACCAAUGGCGAAGGCAGCUCUCUGGCCUGAUACUGACGCUGAGGUGCGAAAGCGUGGGGAGCAAACAGGAUUAGAUACCCUCGUAGUC